RNAcentral lists this non-coding RNA (24 nucleotides) under Arabidopsis thaliana (thale cress). The record is from RNAcentral. Lineage: Eukaryota; Viridiplantae; Streptophyta; Magnoliopsida; Brassicales; Brassicaceae.
GCAGCAUUUGCCAAGUUAUGUUGU